AUUGAACGCUGGCGGCAUGCCUUACACAUGCAAGUCGAACGGCAGCACGGGAGCAAUCCUGGUGGCGAGUGGCGAACGGGUGAGUAAUAUAUCGGAACGUGCCCAGUCGUGGGGAUAACGUAGCGAAAGCUACGCUAAUACCGCAUACGAUCUACGGAUGAAAGCGGGGGAUCGCAAGACCUCGCGCGAUUGGAGCGGCCGAUAUCAGGAUUAGGUAGUUGGUGAGGUAAAGGCUCACCAAGCCGACGAUCUGUAGCUGGUCUGAGAGGACGACCAGCCACACUGGGACUGAGACACGGCCCAGACUCCUACGGGAGGCAGCAGUGGGGAAUUUUGGACAAUGGGCGCAAGCCUGAUCCAGCAAUGCCGCGUGCAGGAUGAAGGCCUCGGUUGUAAACUGCUUUUGUACGGAACGAACGGAGAGCUCUAAUACAGUUGCUAAU
This 443-nucleotide ribosomal RNA is filed under the name uncultured bacterium. RNAcentral describes it as "bacterial SSU rRNA". It matches the Rfam family "Bacterial small subunit ribosomal RNA", at positions 30 to 473 of the family's 1533-position model. The record is from RNAcentral.